AUACGUACUGCGCAAACGUUAUUCGGAAUCACUGGGCUUACAGGGUGCGUAGGCGGUUCGCCAGGUCAGAUGUGAAAUCCCACAGCUCAACUGUGGAUCUGCAUUCGAAACCUGCGAACUUGAGUGAACUAGAGGCAUACGGAACUUCAGGUGGAGCGGUGAAAUGUGUUGAGAUCUGAAGGAACACCAGAGGCGAAGGCGGUAUGCUGGAGUUUGUCUGACGCUGAGGCACGAAAGCCAGGGGAGCGAACGGAAUUAGAAACCCUAGUAGUCC
Molecule: ribosomal RNA, 274 nt
Filed under: uncultured bacterium
Lineage: Bacteria
Description: partial 16S ribosomal RNA
Rfam family: Bacterial small subunit ribosomal RNA
Source: RNAcentral